AGGCCUAAAUUUACAUACAACACAACAUUAGAAAAUUUAAAAAACCAAUCAAUUUGUAGCCAGAGAAGACCGUUCUCUUUAACUGAAACUUAUCAUUCAAUACUUGAUGGCCCUUCACCCAUUUCUUGCUUCUUUGAUAAUGGUGGGGUCAGUUUAAAGCUCCAAAAGACUGCUCCUAUUAGCACACCCGCUCACUCUCAUUCUCAACAUCACCUUUUCAAAAGCCUGCCAUUCUUAUCUAACUACAAAAUAAGAACCAAAUCGACUGCUUCAUUGUAGAGUGCACAACUUUUAUGAUUUCGGAUACCAAAGAACCAAUAAAGAUAGUGUGAAAGAGUGGCAAGAUAGAUACCUUUCUUUUCCCUUUAAAAUUCCGAAGUUCCUUUUUAGCCUUCCCGUAAUGACCUGUGCCCAUGGCUAUGGGCGAUGCUGCUUAUUGAGCAUCAGUUUGAUGCAAAGGCGUUUCACGUGGCUAAAGGGAAUGAAGAUGGACUGAGAAUAUUAAAAAGAAGAAGAUGACAAUAAAGAAGCCCUUGGGAUGGAAGCCCUUUGAGUGAAACUUCCUGUCAUUUGCUUGUAUUAUAAUCAUAAUCAUAAUCAGAGUCGGGGAUACUCGUGAUAGUUAUAGAGAACAUCUAGAAAGAAAAAGGAGAGCUAACAUUCACGUUUACCCAUCUAAGAUACAUUUUCAACCUCCAUUUUGAUUGACUACGAGGCUAGACCUUCCCAACUCACCCAACUUUGAAACAAACUUUCCAACUAGAAAAGGAAACAAAACAAAAAAAGCAUUCCUGUUCCUAGUUCCCACCACUUUUCUGUAGUGGGAAAAACACAAAAUAAAGAAAUCCUAUGUUGAGAGUUGAAGGUACCUUGUUGAGAGUACCAACAUGGCUAAGAUAUCGGAUUUUGCACAGAAGCUGUUAGAUGACCUUCGGUUGCAGAAGGAACGGAUGGCUGCCUCUCAGAGCUCAAAGGGUACAAAUCCAAUGGUUGCAGGUGAGCAUUUUCCUGAAACCUACGCAAUAAGCACCCGUAGUGGAACAUGUAUUAAAUAACAAGUUUACAACAUCCUUCAACAAAUCAGUUAAAACCCUGCAAAAAAAAAUCUUGUGGGUCAUGAUUCUUUUUCAAUUUCUUCUAGACAUUAGAAAAACUGGAGGCAUUACUUAUGCACAUUUCAAAGCUAAUUAAUGCUAAUGAGAAAACGAUCAUCCAAAUAUGCAAAUCAAACACAUGCGAUUGAUGAAAUGCAUAAUUUGAGCAUUAACCACUAUUCUUUGUUUUCUUUCCCAUAUGGAAAUACAUAUUGUUAAUUGUAUUCCCUUACCUAACAAAACCAGCCUCGUGAUUAAGCAAUAAUUCUUUGCUCUUGGAGACAUUGAUUGAAGAAGCUAAGAGAGGGAGGAAUCUUUUGCACUUUUUCUUUAAACGGAAUCAAGUUUUGUCUGGUAUAGGUUGUAUUCAGCAUAAUUGCUCCUCUCCUACCCGCUUCCAGAAUCCAGACUAAUAUUUAGAAGACCAUGCUCGAAAAACAUUGCAUGUAAAUAAAACUUCAGAGAUGAGAAAACAGUUUAUUUCACAUGAGAAUAUAAAGACUAGACUCAUGAUAAUGGAGCUUUAGUUGGCUAGCAAAACCCAUCAAUAAGCAACAGAAAUGCAUAAUUUGCUUUGUUCCUUUUGUUGCACUUGAGCAGAUGCAUAUGCUUACUCCAAGACAGCCUAUAAAUCAUCCAGGGAAUCAAAGACACUGAAAACAGUAAGUUUCCAAAGAUCAAGAGUAGUGAUCGGUUCCUGCAUCAUAUUAAUUAUUUCAUUUCGUUAAAAUGUUUGGCUUCAUGCAGACUGGUUUUAGAGUUGAAAGCACACAAAAGAUGGCUAGUGGAGGCAGGAAGACACUGUUGUUCCAAUAGGGUCGGAAGCGUGUAAAUUAUUGUACUAAAAAAUCACACAAAGUUCAAUUCCCAGGAAAGAGAGGUGGAUCACAAGGAUCUCUUAAAUACCAAGUCUUUCCUUAGUCAAAAUAGGACAAAAAGAACAUAAGAGUUUUAACGAGGUUCGGUAAAUUAUACCUACGUCCUCGGGCACUAACACCAGAUGAUAACUUUACUAUCUCCAAAAUAUUAUAAACAAAUAGAAUUUCUUAAGAAUUCUCAAAUGGGAGAAGAGAGAAAACUAAGAGAGAAAGAUUGGUUGGGAUAGUGUAAAUGAGAAAUGGUUAGACCUAUUUAUAGUUGAGGUUCAGGGACUAACUUAUAAAUGGCCUAAAAAAUUAGGGACCAAAAUUGCAAUUAUCCCAUUUAACUUUAAACAACUUGCCUACCAUUUUUUUCUUUCGGUGCCACUUGCACCUCCCAUUUUUUGACUUUUCAACACCCCUUUUAAUUUGUCUUUUCAACAGACACCACUGAGAAGGUAUAGAAUCAAAUUGUUCCUUUUGGUAGAGGCCAGAAGUCAGAACAAAUAGGAAAUCUGUCAAUGGCCCUGGCUUUUGCAAUUGAAAAUGGAGGAAAGCUAAGAGCAGAGUCUUCGGGCAAAAGUUCAAUUUUCAGUUUCUGCAUAGCAUGGGUAGGAAACAGCUGGGUCACAGAAAGAUGGAAAGAAGAAACAGUAGUGUGAUAGUCAUCAACCUUCAAGAUGCCAACUACCUACUCUCUCACAUCUCCAUAUUGAAGAAAUAUCAAGGGGUGUACAAAAGUUGAACCAGAUCCUCAAAGCCUGCUCUAAUGGACUCAACUUUGACAGAUAUUUGAUAGAAAUUGGAAGGGAACUAUUAAAAGGAGCAAGGGAUUUAGAGGAAUCUCUAGGGAUGCUUGUAAAACUGCAGGAGGAUUCAGAGUACAUGAUAAGGCCACAGAGAAAAAGUCGGAUAACAUUGCUAGAGGAGGAUGAAGAUGAUGAGAACACUGUCAAAAUAGUUGAUCAAAUGCAAUUGGGAAGGCCAAGAUUUUCGAAUUAUAAUGACAUUCAAGGAGUUGCAAGGACUGAUCUCAGGCUGAGGCUGGCAGCUCUUACCUACUCUUCAGAUGUUAGUGAUUCCAAACAUAAGAAUGAUGUUCUAGCUUCCUCAAAUUCACAUUCUCACAAGCGAUCAGUUAGCUAUGUUCCAGACACCAAAUCUAACACUGCGUUCUCAGAACAAAGCCCCUCCAGUUCAGUGCACUUCAAACAAGGAAAGUCAAGAAUUUCAAAUGUAAUCGCGAAAGUGAUGGGGCUUGAUGAAAAUCCCAGAAACAUAGAUUCAAAGGUCACCACAAAGGUGGCGUGAAAUCAAAAGGUAGUAGGAGUGGUUACAAAGACACCAGCAAAGGAUACCAAGAAGGCUGAACAAGGAACAAAAGAUUCUGCAGCGCUGGCUCAUCGUCUCCCACCAAUAAAAGAAAAGGCAACAACAGCCAGCAAGACUCCAUUGACUCAGGACAAAGUUACAGCACAAGCUGGAAAAACUUUGACAACUAGAAAUGGCAGCACAAGAGUUGCUGCUCAUGACAAAUUACCACCACAAAAGAACUUCAAAGACAUAAAACCAGUGACGAGCUUGAGAAAAGCCUUGAUCAAGGUAGACAAACAACAAGGUGAAAUUAACCACUUGAACCUUAACUCUGGAAAUAGAAAGGAAAUCCAGGAAAAGGAGAGCGAACAGAAUAGUAUAAAGUACAGGGAAAAGAAGGGCAUUGAAAGAAUUGACAUAAAGAAACCAGUUCUCAUUCUCAAGGAUGGGAUGCAGCACAUGAUACCACAUGUGCAUAAAACAUCAGAAUUUGCACUUACAUUGCAAGAGAAACCAGAAUAUAGCGAAUGCAUACCUCAAAGGGAAAGCAGACAUGCUAACAAGCUUCUCCUAGGCAAUCAACAAAAGCUGCAAAGUAACCAUGGAUUUCAAGGGGUGCAAAUGCUCCAAAAAUCAGAGCUUCGUUGCAAAAAGCAACAGUCAGAACUGAAGGAAGAAUAAAGUACUGAACAGAAAUUGCAGAGGAAGAAACAAAAGGGAAAUGAACUAUUCUCCAAACAAAUGUCAGGUGCAACCAAUUUGCAAAAGAAGCAGCCACAAAUGAAACAAGCAGAAACUAGUAGGAAAGGCCCCAGAAAACAUAUUGAUGUAACAAAAUUAAAUGGAUUUCCAGGUGGCAGGCACCGCCAAAACCUAGCCUGGGCUGGCAGUUCAAAAAUUAAAGGUUCAUUAGACAGAAACUCUGGUCAGCAUUACACUCAAGGAGCUAUCGAAUCUGAAUCUGCAAAAGAUCAAAACCUGUUUGCUGUGGAUGAGAAACCUGUUCAAGGGCAAACAACAAUGAAGGCAAGAACCAUAAAUGUGUAUAAACAUGGGAGUUCCAUUUCACAAGAUAUGGAAAAGGCAAGGCAGGAGAAACUUGCCAUCUCAAGCGAAGCAGAUCAAAUGAAAACCAGCAGAUUUGAAGAAGUGGAACCACAGAUCAUUAGAUCCAAUAAGUCAAAGUGUAGAAGCACAGAAAAAUUCUAUUUUGUGCAGUCCUCUAGAAGAUGGAUGCCAAAGCCUAAAUGAACUACAAGCUUUGGCUUGGAGAGAGAAUGUAAGAUCCCUUAACCAAUUAUCAGAUGAUGCCACUUUUGUACUUAUUGGUGGAGCCAAAAUAACUCUCUUCGUCUCAUGCAGUGUCAAAAUUCAGUGCCAUUGGUUACAAAAGAACAGCAAGAUCAAGAACCUGAUUUUGGCAAAGCCGAAGAGCUCAAGUUUAAGAACAACAUAUCUGAACCACUACAUGGUAAGUACAAUUUGAACCCAAUGCCUAUUUUCACAUUUUCAAAAGAUGACCUUUAUCCAUUAUUAUUUUAUGAAAUGCUUUUAUUUAACUAAAAAGGACUAUGAACAUUAGCUUAGACCAAUUUCUAUGAUUUUGAGAUAGAUGCUCAUUAGCACGCCCAAUGAGACAAGCACGUAUAGAUGACCAUGCAUAAGGUGCCCUGUUUUAUGAUAUAUGGAGACUGAAUCAUAGAAGGUUGACUAUAUCUAUAUUAUCCAGCGGACCAGCUCUCUUGAGAAAACCUUAAUUUACUUCCAAUCUUUCUAACAAUUAAGUCCAUAGUAGUGGCAGCAUCAGAUGCUUCUUUUAAUGUUUCGGGCUGGGUGGGUGGUUUGGGAAGGGAGGAAGGAAGAAGAUUAUCUGCUAAAGUUCAUCGCAUUUCAGGAACUCGUGAAGAGAGUAGAGAAAUCCCUUGCACCCCCCAGUCGCAGUAUCAAAGAACUUGUGCUUCAGAGAUGCCAGAGCCACUGACAGAGAGUGAAAAUCACCCAAAUGAGAUACUUACGAAAAGUGGACUAUUUAUGAACACAGCAGAAGCACUUUUCAAACUCAACAUUCUUCAUACAAACAGUCACAACCAUCAGGACAAGAGAGCAAGCUCGUUUUAGACUGUGGCUACGAAGUAAUGAAGAGUAAAGGAAUAAGACAGGAGCUAAGUGUUCACCCAUUUCUAAAGGUAACCAUCAUUCCAAACAAGGAGAAAACUUUGGAUGAAUUGGUCAAGCAAAUGAGUGAAGACAUCGAUAAGUUGAAAUUAUACAGAAGGGGCCGAAGAGAAAAUUCCCCCUUCGAAGACUAUCUACCAAAAAUGCUUGAAGCCGAUGUGAACAACAAGGAACCUCAUCUGAAUUGUAUGUGGGACAAGGGUCGGAACAGCAUGAUGUUUGCAUUUCUUGAGAAAGAUGAUGUUGUAAGGGAUGCGGAGAAGUAUGUGCUUAAUGGACUCCUAGAUGAGAUGACCAGAGAUAUUUUCACAGGCGUAAGUGUUUCAGUUUAACUGUAAUAUUCUCCCAGAAAAUCCAAAUUAUUUAAGCAAAUUGGUUUAACAUUUCUGUUUGUAUCUGCGAUAAACCUUCUACGUCUCCAUAGCUUCUUUUUUCCACUUAGGUACAUAAAUAUUGUGAUUAUUAUUUGCAGAAUUCCAAAUUUUCAAUUGUUUGCUUGUAAAUUAAUGAUUAAUUGCAGUUUUAUCCAUUUCUCUAUGGAUUCUAAGGCAGAUUUUAUUACUGAACGCGCAUUAUUAAGUAUAAACAAGAAAAAAGAAAAAGAUAGUAAAAAAGUUCAGAUAAUAAAUAGGGAGCAAAAUCAAAGGGAAAAACGGCGUAGAUGAACAAAAAAGGGUGACGUUUACCUGAUCUUGAACUAGUUUUUUGAAGGACGAAAAUGGAAGAUCAAUCUUCUGCUCCAAACUUCAACUUUAAUGUAAUUUUUUAAGAAUCAACGAAAGUUGGACUCGGAGCGGUAAAUUCAAACCUUUCAUUUCUUUUGCUUCUUGUUUAUAUCCUCG
This 6285-nucleotide long non-coding RNA is filed under the name Gossypium barbadense (sea-island cotton). RNAcentral's name for it is "long non-coding RNA (GBAR_LNC016147)". The record is from RNAcentral. Lineage: Eukaryota; Viridiplantae; Streptophyta; Magnoliopsida; Malvales; Malvaceae.